Molecule: ribosomal RNA, 254 nt
Filed under: uncultured bacterium
Lineage: Bacteria
Description: partial 16S ribosomal RNA
Rfam family: Bacterial small subunit ribosomal RNA
Source: RNAcentral
UACGUAGGUCACGAGCGUUAUCCGGAAUUAUUGGGCGUAAAGGGUUUUUAGGUGGUUAAGUAGGUCUUUGGUCAAAGGCCCAAGCUCAACUUGGGUUUCGCCAAAGAUACCGCUUUUCUUUGAAGGUAGCAGGGGUACAUGGAAUGCCCGGUGUAGCAGUGAAAUGCGUUGAUAUCGGGCAGAACACCAAUGGCGAAGGCAAUGUACUAGGCUACUCUUGACACUGAAGAACGAAAGCGUGGGGAGCGAACGGG